AGGAAUUUAGGUUAACAUAGACCAAGAGCCUUCAAAGCCCUAAGUAAGUGAUUACACUUAAUUCCUG
RNAcentral lists this transfer RNA (67 nucleotides) under Prosciurillus murinus (Celebes dwarf squirrel). Its description in RNAcentral is "tRNA-Trp". The record is from RNAcentral. Lineage: Eukaryota; Metazoa; Chordata; Mammalia; Rodentia; Sciuridae.